RNAcentral lists this ribosomal RNA (962 nucleotides) under uncultured bacterium. Its description in RNAcentral is "bacterial SSU rRNA". It matches the Rfam family "Bacterial small subunit ribosomal RNA", at positions 28 to 1010 of the family's 1533-position model. The record is from RNAcentral.
GACGAACGCUGGCGGCGUGCUUAACACAUGCAAGUUGAACGGGCGAUGUUGGAAGCUUGCUGAAGACAUCGUUAGUAGCGGACGGGUGAGUAACGCAUGAGGACCCGCCUUGCGGAGGGGGACAACAGUUGGAAACGGCUGCUAAUACCCCGUAUGCCGAGAGGUGAGAGGGAUGGGAACAUCCCGCCGUGAGAGGGACUCAUGUCCUAUCAGCUUGUUGGUGGGGUAACGGCCCACCAAGGCGACGACGGGUAGCCGGCCUGAGAGGGCGACCGGCCACACUGGAACUGAGAUACGGUCCAGACUCCUACGGGAGGCAGCAGUGGGGAAUAUUGGGCAAUGGGGGAAACCCUGACCCAGCGACGCCGCGUGAGGGAAGAAGGCCUUCGGGUCGUAAACCUCUUUUGUACGGGAAGAAGAAGACGACGGUACCGUACGAAGAAGUCCCGGCUAACUACGUGCCAGCAGCCGCGGUAAUACGUAGGGGACGAGCGUUGUCCGGAAUUACUGGGCGUAAAGGGCGCGCAGGCUGCGCGUCGAGUCGGCUGUGAAAGAUCCGGGCUCAACCCGGUGAAGCGGUCGAGACCGACGUGCUGGAGUGCUGCAGAGGCAAGUGGAAUCCCCGGUGUAGCGGUGAAAUGCGUAGAUAUCGGGAAGAACACCGGUGGCGAAGGCGACUUGCCGGGCAGCAACUGACGCUGAGGCGCGAAAGCCAGGGGAGCGAACGGGAUUAGAUACCCCGGUAGUCCUGGCCGUAAACGAUGAAUGCUAGGUGUGCGUGCAGAGAUGCAUACGUGCCGGAGUUAACGCGAUAAGCAUUCCGCCUGGGGAGUACGGUCGCAAGAUUGAAACUCAAAGGAAUUGACGGGGGCCCGCACAAGCGGUGGAGCACGUGGUUUAAUUCGAUGCAACGCGCAGAACCUUACCUGGGCUUGACAUCCACGGAACCCUCCCGAAACGGA